GUUUACAGUGUGAAUCCUUCAGUACGUCACAUAAACGAUUCACUCCUGUGUUUUUUAGUUCAUUCCAGCUGAGGUCCAGUUCUCUCAGGUGUGAAAGGUUUGAACACAGAGCUGAAGUCAGGAUGAGACACUGUUUCUCUGUAAUACUGCAUCUAUAAAGAUUGCGUGUGUUGAGUGUACAGUGUUUAUCCUGCA
Sinocyclocheilus rhinocerous is the source of this 195-nucleotide long non-coding RNA. RefSeq lists it as uncharacterized. The record is from RefSeq and is a predicted model, not a curated record. The transcript has 4 exons. Lineage: Eukaryota; Metazoa; Chordata; Actinopteri; Cypriniformes; Cyprinidae.